This 436-nucleotide ribosomal RNA is filed under the name uncultured bacterium. RNAcentral's name for it is "bacterial SSU rRNA". It matches the Rfam family "Bacterial small subunit ribosomal RNA", at positions 339 to 792 of the family's 1533-position model. The record is from RNAcentral.
GUACGGGAGGCAGCAGUGAGGAAUCUUGCACAAUGGGGGAAACCCUGAUGCAGCGACGCCGCGUGAGCGAUGAAGCCCUUCGGGGUGUAAAGCUCUUUCGGCAGGAACGAUUAUGACGGUACCUGCAGAAGAAGCUGCGGCUAACUACGUGCCAGCAGCCGCGGUAAUACGUAGGCAGCGAGCGUUGUUCGGAGUUACUGGGCGUAAAGGGUGUGUAGGCGGUUUGCCAAGUUCGGUGUGAAAUCUCCCGGCUUAACUGGGAGGGUGCGCCGAAUACUGGCAGGCUCGAGUGCGGGAUGGGAGAGCGGAAUUCCUGGUGUAGCGGUGAAAUGCGUAGAGAUCAGGAGGAACACCUGCGGUGUAGACGGCUCUCUGGACCGCCACUGACGCUGAGACACGAAAGCGUGGGUAGCAAACAGGAUUAGAUACCCUAGUA